GAAGAAGUUAGGUAUCCCGAUGGCCA
RNAcentral lists this non-coding RNA (26 nucleotides) under Rattus norvegicus (Norway rat). The record is from RNAcentral. Lineage: Eukaryota; Metazoa; Chordata; Mammalia; Rodentia; Muridae.